UUCAUAUGACAGCUGGAGAAGUUUUUAGUUUCUAUUCUAAAUACAGCAGUCAAUAUUUGAAGUGGAUCAAAACCUUUCAUCAAAGUUGUUAUAAAACCAAAACAAUAUCUACCCGUUCCUGUCUUACGACAACUUUGAACUUUUUCGUUUUUUGAACGGCCUUUGUUUGGUGUGUGAGUGUAACAAACAGAGCUUUUUGUAGAGUUGCUGUGUUCUUGACUUUAAACCUUACAACUCUAUAGUUGACUCCAUGCUGCAACUUGACAAAUAAAGAUCAUGGAUCGGUUACUGGAUCAUUUGUGUUUUGAAGGACACACCGUCCUGGAUCUGAUAUGUCAGCGAUGUGAUCCGGACUCUUCUGAUGGGCAGAAACACUGGGAAAAGAUCAACUGGAUACUGGGAGAAAAUUGUUGUUGUUGUCAUUGAUCUGUGAUUGACAGACAUUAUGAAACCGUGGAGGGACCGACUCACGGAGGAUCUCUGUCUGUUUCAGUUUUUUUUCUGCAUACAAUCAAAACAGCGCAAAAUACUCAAAUGGUGAACAGAACAGGUGAUGCCUCGUUAAUCAGGAGCCAUAGUAACAAACAAGGAGCCGGACACUGGAAUAAAGGGACACUGGAAUAAUAGAAACAGAUGAAAUCAGGCAGAUCCUGACAACAAUACUACAGUAUGAAAGAGCAUUAAAGUGUGCAGGAGACAGACCGGAGCUUUAAAUGUUUUAAAUGUGUAUGUAUAGAAUUUUUUUCUUUGUUUUUACAGAAUUCUGUUUUUAGGGUUUCAGAUGAUUGGUUAGUGUUUGAUUUGACGUACUUAAAACUUGAUUUGUCCAGCACUAUCA
Onychostoma macrolepis is the source of this 838-nucleotide long non-coding RNA. RefSeq lists it as uncharacterized. The transcript is spliced from 3 exons. The record is from RefSeq and is a predicted model, not a curated record. NCBI's taxonomy places the organism in Eukaryota, Metazoa, Chordata, Actinopteri, Cypriniformes, Cyprinidae.